Molecule: long non-coding RNA, 518 nt
Filed under: Linum usitatissimum (flax)
Lineage: Eukaryota; Viridiplantae; Streptophyta; Magnoliopsida; Malpighiales; Linaceae
Description: long non-coding RNA (LUSI_LNC003936)
Source: RNAcentral
ACGAUCUUCAGCAUUAAGUAAUACCAAUUAGAAAAAGUAAACGACAGAAAAUAUCAAAGAUAUAAUGCAGCAGCUCUCCAAAUGACAUGCUUUUUCGUGGGUUCAAAGUCGUCUCUCAUAUUUAUUUAUCUAUCCAUAUUCAUUCAGUUAGUUGAAUGUGAAAUGGAAUCAACCAACCCGAAACAGUUGACUGGCUAUCAAGUCAACCCAUACAACUUACAUCACCCAGAUUAAAAUCAUUAUAAUAAGCAUUUUCAUUUUAAAUGUUCUACAUUCUCUCUGGAACAUGACGCCAUAGCUACGUCGCGUGCGUUACAAAUUUCUUGACCCCCAGGCACGCCAAUCUGUUCUUACUGCAACUGUGCUGUGUACUGAAAAUUCAAACCCAAGAAUUGUCAAAGCCUUUUAAUGGGAACGGUGGACCAGUCUCCACGCCCAGAUGAAAUUCUUCCUCAACUGUAAUGUGAACAACUUGGAUGCUGGACCACUGAGUUAUCUGCUUUCAUCUUUAUCUUCAG